UGGGGAAUAUUGGACAAUGGGCGAAAGCCUGAUCCAGCCAUGCCGCGUGUGUGAAGAAGGUCUUCGGAUUGUAAAGCACUUUAAGUUGGGAGGAAGGGCAGUAAGCGAAUACCUUGCUGUUUUGACGUUACCGACAGAAUAAGCACCGGCUAACUCUGUGCCAGCAGCCGCGGUAAUACAGCGGGUGCAAGCGUUAAUCGGAAUUACUGGGCGUAAAGCGCGCGUAGGUGGUUCGUUAAGUUGAAUGUGAAAGCCCCGGGCUCAACCUGGGAACUGCAUCCAAAACUGGCGAGCUAGAGUAGGGCAGAGGGGGGUGGAAUUUCCUGUGUGUCGGUGAAAUGCGUAGAUAUAGGAAGGAACACCAGUGGCGAAGGCGACCACCUGGGCUCAUACUGACACUGAGGUGCGAAAGCGUGGGGAGCAAACAGG
This 429-nucleotide ribosomal RNA is filed under the name Pseudomonadota bacterium. Its description in RNAcentral is "Proteobacteria bacterium partial 16S ribosomal RNA". It matches the Rfam family "Bacterial small subunit ribosomal RNA", at positions 355 to 776 of the family's 1533-position model. Lineage: Bacteria; Pseudomonadati; Pseudomonadota. The record is from RNAcentral.